This is a long non-coding RNA of Gordionus sp. m RMFG-2023, 877 nucleotides long. RefSeq lists it as uncharacterized. The record is from RefSeq and is a predicted model, not a curated record. Lineage: Eukaryota; Metazoa; Nematomorpha; Gordioida; Chordodea; Parachordodidae. The transcript is spliced from 3 exons.
UGAUUCUGAAAAUCCAAAAUCAGAUGAAUUAGCAUUACUAUGGCCAAAUAUGAUAAAUGUUUUACAUUAACAUUCUAUAUUGAAGGAACUAAUCCAAUGCUUACGAAGUGUAAAAUAUUGCCAAAAAGUAUUAUAUUGUCAAAAUCUUCAGUGGCCUCAAAUAUGGUCAACCAUUGAUAGACGCCGUAUUAAAUGGGAAUAAAAGAUUUGAACAUAUAUAUAAGGAUCAAUAUGUUCUUUCUGCAAUUAUACAUCCAGCAUUCAAACUUCAAUGGUCAUGGAUAUAACUUCCACAGAACGAACCUAUUAAGAAAACUUAUAGCGUUUUUGAAAUGCUUUGAAAACCCUAGAGAAUUGUUAAUUUCGAGAUAUCCUUUUUUAUGUCGAGAGUAGAGAAUGGAUUGGAAGAAGAUAACUUAUCUCAAUUUUUUGCAAAUAACAAAACAAUAUGUUUUUAAUUAAUUCUCCACGUUAAAAGAGUUGUUUAUUAAGUAUAAUACCGCAAUCCCCUCAUCUUCCCCUGUAGAGCGUGUUUUUAGGCUAAUGCCGUAUUAACUGCCAAGUGUUCCUGUCUGUCAGAUAAAUAUUUUGAAAACAGUUGUUAUUAUAAUUAGUGAAGGUCACGGUCCGGUCUUUGGUCCGGACUGGACCGAUACCCUCGGACCGGACCACGGUCCUUAAGAAAAAAAUCGAUCCAGAGUGGUCCUAAAUAAAAAGACCGGUCCUGGAUCGGUCUUUUUAUUUGUUUAAAAAACAUAUUUUUUAACCUAAUUUGAUUUGUUUUAUCAUUUUAUUAAUAAAAUAAUUAGGUACCUUAAGCAGACAUCUGAUAAAACAUAAAAUAUAUACUUCUAAUGAUGAAAAUGAAAAUAUCUCA